AAGUCGUAACAAGGUUUCCGUAGGUGAACCUGCGGAAGGAUCAUUAACGAGUAAAACGAGGGAGUUGUAGCUGGCCGCAAGGCAUGUGCACGCUUUCUUACUCAAUCCAACCUUACACCUGUGCAUCUAUUGUAGGUCGGGUAGCCUAAGUCUUUGCGGACUCGGGCUGCUCUUCUUAUGUUUUACACAUACACUUGUAGUCUCAGAAUGUAAUCUGCGUUUAACGCAUCUAUAAACAACUUUCAACAACGGAUCUCUUGGCUCUC
This 266-nucleotide unclassified non-coding RNA is filed under the name uncultured fungus. RNAcentral describes it as "partial contains small subunit ribosomal RNA, internal transcribed spacer 1, and 5.8S ribosomal RNA". The stretch from base 1 to 46 matches the Rfam family "Eukaryotic small subunit ribosomal RNA", at positions 1786 to 1831 of the family's 1831-position model. RNAcentral also lists the same sequence under 1 other name. The record is from RNAcentral. Lineage: Eukaryota; Fungi.